GGCACAGUGCCAGAGUGGUUAAUGGGUUAGACUUGAACUCAGUUCAUGUCAUCUAAUGGCUUCGGCCUCGCAAGUUCGAAUCUUGUCUGUGUCG
RNAcentral lists this transfer RNA (94 nucleotides) under Delitschia confertaspora ATCC 74209. It matches the Rfam family "tRNA". Rfam says of the family: Transfer RNA (tRNA) molecules are approximately 80 nucleotides in length. Their secondary structure includes four short double-helical elements and three loops (D, anti-codon, and T loops). Further hydrogen bonds mediate the characteristic L-shaped molecular structure. tRNAs have two regions of fundamental functional importance: the anti-codon, which is responsible for specific mRNA codon recognition, and the 3' end, to which the tRNAs corresponding amino acid is attached (by aminoacyl-tRNA synthetases). tRNAs cope with the degeneracy of the genetic code in two manners: having more than one tRNA (with a specific anti-codon) for a particular amino acid; and 'wobble' base-pairing, i.e. permitting non-standard base-pairing at the 3rd anti-codon position. Lineage: Eukaryota; Fungi; Ascomycota; Dothideomycetes; Pleosporales; Delitschiaceae. The record is from Rfam by way of RNAcentral.